Molecule: microRNA precursor, 80 nt
Filed under: Medicago truncatula (barrel medic)
Lineage: Eukaryota; Viridiplantae; Streptophyta; Magnoliopsida; Fabales; Fabaceae
Description: MIR5269 microRNA precursor family
Rfam family: MIR5269 microRNA precursor family
Source: Rfam by way of RNAcentral
UUGGGUGAAAUCAAUGUAGGAUCUACACUUUGGAAAUGGAACCCACAAAAAAUGGUGGGACAUACAUUGAUUUCACUCAA